GAGUUUGAUUAUGGCUCAGGAUGAACGCUGGCGGCGUGCUUAACACAUGCAAGUCGAACGAACGAAUUUUAACGGAGCUCUUCGGAGUAAAGAUAGAAUAAGUGAGUGGCGGACGGGUGCGUAACGUGUGGGUAAUCUGCCUUUGUCAUGGGAAUAACUGCUUGAAAGAGCAGCUAAUACCGAAUAACAUAUGCAAUAGGCAUCUAUUGGAUAUCAAAGAGAAAUCGGACAAAGAUGAGCCCGCAUCUGAUUAGCUAGUUGGUAGGGUAACAGCCUACCAAGGCAACGAUCAGUAGCCGACCUGAGAGGGUGAACGGCCACAUUGGAACUGAGACACGGUCCAAACUCCUACGGGAGGCAGCAGUGGGGAAUAUUGCACAAUGGGGGGAACCCUGAUGCAGCAACGCCGCGUGAGUGAAGAAGGCUUUCGAGUCGUAAAACUCUGUUGUAAGGGAAGAUAAUGACAGUACCUAAAAGAAG
This 480-nucleotide ribosomal RNA is filed under the name Filifactor sp. canine oral taxon 064. Its description in RNAcentral is "bacterial SSU rRNA". It matches the Rfam family "Bacterial small subunit ribosomal RNA", at positions 9 to 490 of the family's 1533-position model. Lineage: Bacteria; Bacillati; Bacillota; Clostridia; Peptostreptococcales; Filifactoraceae. The record is from RNAcentral.